Molecule: unclassified non-coding RNA, 2247 nt
Filed under: uncultured fungus
Lineage: Eukaryota; Fungi
Description: sequence contains 18S rRNA gene, ITS1, 5.8S rRNA gene, ITS2, 28S rRNA gene
Rfam family: Eukaryotic large subunit ribosomal RNA (bases 1211-2247)
Source: RNAcentral
GGAAGGAUCAUUAUUCUGCAUAAAAAAAAACACUUUUAGGUAGCUGACUUCUUUUCUUGGCUUUCCAUAAUUUGAAUGUUGUGGGGAGUCGAGAGAGGAGGGAAGUUACCUAAUCUAUAUAAUAACACACGAUAACAAAAAAAAUAAUAUAUUUAAAUAAAGUGCGAGUGGCUUCACAACCCACUCAUUUUUUUCUGCGGGAGGCCUACCGCGUGACCAAGUGGGCUAGGGAGUAGGAAGGGCAUCAGUGGCACAGUUGCGAGUCAGGAGAGAGGUACCCUUUCUUGUCUUGCGGCUGGGUUUUCUGGUCUCCCUCUUAUUUCUACUUUCACGUUUAUCGGAUCGGAUUCGUAUCAUAAAACCCCAUUUGACGGGCUUAACAACCUGGCGAAUGUAAAACUUUUUACAACUUAUAGCGGUGGAUUUCUCGGCUUGCGUAUCGAUGAAGAACGUAGCAAACUACGAUAAUUAUUGUGAAUUGCAAAAUACGUGAAUCAUCGAAUUUUUGAAUGCAUACUGCACCGGGGGUCUAACAACCCCUGGUCUAUCCGGUCGAGUGCCGAUUCUUCAUCACUUCCUUUUCCAAUGAUAAAAAGUUGGUUUUGGUUGUGGAUAUAUGAGGGUAGAGCUCGCUUUUUACGGCAGGCAUCUUCCCUUUAAAUACACAAAACGGGUUCCAUCAACAGAGAGCGCUUACUCGCCUUUGGGAGGGGUGCUUUCUUAGUAGUGGGCAUCAAGUCCCCGGCAUGACUAGCCUCGUGUAUCGGCUAAGUCUGUUAGAAAAAUGCUGGGUGCGCAAUGCAGGGAAAACCAGGGAGGUUUUUUCUUCUGUUGUGACUAUCCUCUCACUUGUGGGGGGAUGGUUACGGCAGCAUGAGGUUGGGACGCUGUUCAAAGGCUUUGUGGGCACUUGAGCUUACCAAUAGCUUUUGGGAGUUUACCCGAAUCUCACUUGAUGAUGGGAGAGCUUUGGGGGGAGUGGCUUGCCAUUCCUCACAGGUUGUCACGUUUGAUGGUGGGUUGAGGGAAUCAUAAACUUCUAGAAGUAAGGACGGGGAGGUUCGGGGGUUUGUAGAGCUUGGGGAUGGAUGUUCUGUCUUUGUGGCUUUUCCCCCCUUGUAAAUGAGGGGAGAGAAGGAGUUAGUACUUCUUUAUUGGGGGUCUUGCGUUGUUUAUAAAUAACGGGGGAAGGCAUUGCCUUCUUUCUUAACGGCCUCGGCUCGGGUAGGACUACCCGCUGAACUUAAGCAUAUUAGUAAGCGGAGGAAAAGAAAUUAACAAAGAUUCCCUCAGUAACUGCGAGUGAACUGGGAGGGAGCCCAGCCCUGAAUCGGGGGGGAUUCGUCCUCUACCGAAAUGUGGGGUUUGCCGUGAUUGGUCAGGCGUAAGGGUGAACUUGAAGUCAUCUUGGAACAGUGGGCCUUAGAGGGUGAUAGCCCCGUAAGGUUUGCCCAAGCGUCAGACCAGUUGCGGUUAGAGUCGAGUUGUUUGGGAGUACAACUCUAAAGGGUGAUAAAUUUCAUCCAAGGCUAAAUAUUAACGCAAGACCGAUAGCGCACAAGUACCGCGAGGGAAAGAUGCAAAGAACUCUGAAAAGAGAGUUCAAAGUACAUGAAACCGCUAUAAGGGAAAGCGGUGGUUAGGGCAUAUUCACGCUGUUAGGGGUCUGUCUCUGGGAGUUUUGAGGCGUUUGUUGGGGCGUCGGCAACGGCGUUUCCAGCAGGCGUUUUUGGAAUUUCUAGGGGCGUAUUUCCUAGCAGUGUGUUCACCGAGUAUUUAAUCGUGAUGGCUUUGAAGAACCUGAAAAUCAGUCUUCGGACUGGUGGAGGGUUUUAGAGGCCUAGUUAAGUACAGGGUUACGCAAGUAACACGGGCAGCGCUCAGCGCUCAUGAAUGCUGUCCACGUCGGUGAUUUUAACGUGCCAUACCCACUGACCCGUCUUGAAACACGGACCAAGGAGUCUAUCAGGCUUGCGAGUUCGAGGGUGUAAAAACUCUAGGGCAAAAUGAAAGUAAGAGGUGUGAUAUUCGUAAGAAUUGCAACACCGACCGGUCCAGGCCAUUCGUGGUCAGGAUCGAGUUGUAGCAGGCCUAAUAGAACCCGAAAGGUGGCGAACUAUGCCUGUACAGGAAGAAGCCAGGAGAAAUCCUGGUGGAAGUCCGUAGCGGUAUUGACGUGCAAAUCAUUCGUCAGAUGCAGGUAUAGCGGCGAAAGACCAAUCGAGCCGCCUAGUAGCUGGUUCCCUC